Molecule: long non-coding RNA, 314 nt
Filed under: Setaria viridis
Lineage: Eukaryota; Viridiplantae; Streptophyta; Magnoliopsida; Poales; Poaceae
Description: long non-coding RNA (SVIR_LNC010207)
Source: RNAcentral
AUUAUGCCACUGAACUACUGUCCCUGGGAUCCAUCUUUUUCAGUGGACACCAGAAAUAACUAGCUGUUGUUUUCUGUUUUUGACAACAUAGACUUGGUUAGCUUUCCAUCUCCUUUUCAACUGCUACACGUAUUUGUAUCGGUCAAUUCUAGUUACCCUUUAAGCGUGACAUAGUCAAGCAGAUUGAGAUCCCCAUGCUUAUUUCCAGGCUUAUUGGCCAACAUCAUCAAAGAGCUAGACUCCACGCGGCCUGCAUUCACAAUUUCACAUUCCUCAACUUUUAGGCACUACAUCACUCAAAGACCAUCAAAGAG